AACUGAUACUACCUGCGGGAACCUGCGGAAGGAUCAUUACAGAGUUGCAAAACUCCCUAAACCAUUGUGAACGUUACCUAAACCGUUGCUUCGGCGGGCGGCCCGGGUCCUUCCCGGCGCCCCUCGGCCCUCGCGGGCGCCCGCCGGAGGAAAACCAAACUAUUGCAUUGUAUGGCCUCUCUGAGUCUUCUGUACUGAAUAAGUCAAAACUUUCAGCAAUGGAUCUCUAGAUCGGAAGAG
This 240-nucleotide unclassified non-coding RNA is filed under the name soil metagenome. RNAcentral describes it as "partial contains 5.8S ribosomal RNA, internal transcribed spacer 2, and large subunit ribosomal RNA". The record is from RNAcentral.